AGGAGAGGUGAGGAAAGGAAGGAAACCCUCGCGUCGUCCCCUCCGCUCCGAAACCCCCGACGCCAAGGAAACCCUCGCGAGCCCACAGCCGCCUCCGGCUCCGCCCGCGCCGCCGCCCCGAAUCCGGCCGGUGCCCGCGGCCCCGGGCCCCCGCCGCCCCAGUCCCCGAGGGAGCAAUGGGCAGCAGCAGCAGCAGCAGUGCCUGAGGAGGAGGGAGUUAUGGCGGGAAUGGCUGGGAAGGGGGACGAGUCGGUUGCACCGGUGAGGUCCAGUGACCGGCUGCGGCAGCGGCCCAAGUACUACGGGCGGGGAUACCUGUAUUACUCACCCAACAUGCGCAACAAGAUGAACUCCAACAAGAAGCGGACGGCUGCAUCGCAGAUUGCGAAGAAGCUUCUUCGCAAGCCAGCCGCACGGGAACCUCCUGCCGAUUCUAUUGCAGCAAAUUUGCGCCGUUCAACGCGGAAGCGAAGAAUGUCUGUAACUCUGGAGGACUACGGCACAGAUAGUUCCAGUAUGGAAGAUGAUGACCUUAUGAGACCCAGAUAUCGGUCUUCUUCAAAGAGUAAAGGGGAUGAUCAAGUGUCGGCACGGCCGAAGCGCAAUAAAAUGUCUAACUCGAACUCCAUUCCCCGCCGUGAAGGUUUAAGGCCUAGAAGAUCUCUGCGGGGACAAAGGCAUCUUCCAUACCAAGUUUCUGAUGAUGAUCAGGAAAGUUCUGAAGAAGAACAUGAACAAGAUCAGAGAGAAAAUGGCAAUGAAGUCGAAGAGGACGGUGCCAAUGAAGAGGAGAUUGAUGGAGGUGAUGAAGCUGAAGAAGAUGGAGAUGAUGAAGAUGGCGAGGAAGAGCAAGAAGUUAGGAGGAGAUAUGAUCUAAGGGAUCGUGCAGAAGUUCGUAGACCCUCCCCACAGAAGGAAGGGAAGCACAGACCACAAUCUCCCCGCAGAGUACUUGUACAAGGAAUUGGUCCAAAGAACAGCAAGUAUUUAAAAAAAGGUGGGUCACGCAUGCAUAAGCGCCCUCGUUUCUCAAUGCCAGAUGAUUCAGAUGAUUCUCUUCUCGUGGAUGAGCCGGAUGAAGGUCCAUCCAUGCCAUGGAUGCGUAGUGGGAGAGGUGGUAUGCCACCAUGGCUUAUGGGUGGAUUGGACAUGCAUAAUUCAGCAGCAUGGGGUCUCAAUGCUGGAGCAUCUGGAUGGGGUCAUCAGGGUGAUACUGGAGUCAGUACUUCAUCACUGAUGCCAGGGGCACAAACUGCUGGCCCAAGUUCCAAGGGAGGAGCUGAUAUUCAGCCUCUGCAGAUUGAUGAGAGUGUAAGUUUUAAUGAUAUUGGAGGUUUGUCUGAGUACAUUGAUGCUUUAAAGGAAAUGGUGUUCUUCCCUUUGUUGUAUCCAGAUUUUUUUGCAAAUUAUCACAUAACUCCUCCUAGGGGAGUUCUUCUCUGUGGACCUCCUGGUACAGGGAAGACAUUGAUUGCCCGUGCAUUAGCUUGUGCUGCCUCUAAAGCUGGCCAGAAGGUCAGCUUUUAUAUGCGAAAAGGAGCUGAUGUUCUUAGUAAAUGGGUUGGAGAGGCUGAAAGGCAGCUCAAGUUGCUUUUUGAGGAAGCUCAAAAGAAUCAGCCUGCAAUCAUAUUUUUUGAUGAAAUAGAUGGCCUUGCCCCUGUGAGAUCUAGCAAGCAAGAGCAGAUUCACAAUUCAAUAGUGUCAACAUUGCUUGCUUUGAUGGACGGUCUUGAUUCACGUGGACAAGUUGUUUUGAUUGGAGCAACCAAUCGGAUUGAUGCCAUUGAUGGGGCAUUGCGUAGACCUGGCCGUUUUGAUCGCGAGUUCUAUUUUCCUUUACCUGGCUAUGAGGCACGAGCUGAAAUUCUGGACAUUCAUACACGGAAAUGGAAGGAACCCCCGCCAAAGGAGCUAAAGAUGGAGCUUGCUGCGAGCUGUGUUGGGUAUUGUGGUGCUGAUUUGAAAGCAUUAUACUCGGUCAGGGUCGAGAGGAACCACUUCUUGGAAGCUAUGUCUACAAUAACUCCAGCUGCACAUAGGGGAUCAAUUGUGCAUUCAAGACCACUGUCACCGGUUAUUGCUCCAUGUUUGAAGAGACAUCUUGAGAAGGAUCAUGUUGGGCCAGCUGUUUUGCAUGAGCUUGAGAAAUUUCCUGUGCACUCCUUGGGGCUGCCAUCUCUUCUCUCUGAUCCAAGUGCAAAGACACCUGAAGAAGCUCUCGUGCAUAUUUUUGGGGAAGCAAGGAGAACAACACCGUCCAUACUAUACUUGCCACAGUUCCAUCUUUGGUGGGAUACGGCACAUGAACAGCUUAGGGCAGUGUUAUUGACUCUUCUGAAUGAAUUGGCAUCCAAUCUUCCAGUAUUGUUGCUAGGAACAUCAUCAGUGGCCUUUGAUGACCUCGAAGAAGAGUGUGCUUCCAUAUUUUCUUCUCGUAAUGUAUAUCAAGUGGAUCGACCAAGUGAUGAUGAUAGAUCAAGAUACUUUAGUAUACUGUUUGAGUCACUGCUCUCACUUCAAAUGGAAGAUUCAAGAAGCAAGUCGAAAGAGAAAAAGUCUAUCGAUCUUCCAAAAGCACCAAAGAAAGUAGAUGGGCCUAAGGUUUCUGAGCUGAAAGCUAAGGCAGAAGCUGAGCAACACGCUGUUCGUCGAAUGAGAAUGUGUCUACGAGAUAUUUGUAACCGCAUUCUAUACAACAAAAGGUUCACUGCAUUUCACUUCCCAGUAUCAGAAGAGGAAGUACCUGACUAUCGAACAAUAGUUCACAACCCCAUGGAUAUGGCUGCUGUCUUGCAGCGGGUGGACUCUGGACAGUACUUCUCUCAGGCAGCAUUUUUGAAGGAUAUUAAUCUUAUAGUCACUAAUGCAAAGACUUAUAAUGGCGACGAUUACAAUGGAUCUAGGAUCGUGAGCAGAGCAUGUGAACUCCGAGAUGUGGUGCAAGGAAUGUUGUCACAGAUGGACCCGUCAUUGGUAUCCUUUUGUGAUAAAAUUGCUGCACAAGGGGGACCACUGCAGGCUAUGGAUGAUGAGGAUAGCUCCAUUCUUCAAGCGCCGCCUGUUGUUCAGUUAGUUUCUGUUACUAGAACAAGUGCGAGGCUUCGUAAUGUACAACCAGAAGUUGAUCUGUCACGAAGUUAUGAGGUGCUAAAGCGGCACAAGAAAAGCACCGAAAACGAACAUGGCACGGCUGCCAAAGAAUCGACAGCAAGAGACGGAAAGUCUCCUGGUGAUGUAGAUCUGUCAAAGCCAACUUCCCCAGAGGAAGCUCCAAAAGGACCACAUUCAAAUGGCCCUUUGAAAGAAGCUGACAAAGCACCAGAUGAAGCACCUCCAAUACUACCUGGUUCUCCUCCCGACCCAAUGGAGACUGACAAUGGCGAAGAUUCUGCCAUGCCUACCAGCGAUGACACGCUUGAACAGCUGGAAGGCUUGAAGCAGCGCUUCAUGGAGCUCACCGUGGGCUACGGGGUGCCGCAGCUCGAGAGGCUCUACUCGCGGAUAAUGAAGGGCGCGAUAGAGUUGACAGGUAAAGAAACCAACAAGGAUCAUAGACGGUUAGUUGUUAGGCAUUUGUCGGCAUUUGUUGAGAACAGCGACAAUUUUUAACUCUAGCAGGAAUAAGAGGUUUUACUGGUUUUCCCUGUGUACAUUCUGUUGUCUGUUGGAGCAACAACCCUGAGGAGCUGUCCAUGCCUCCUGAUGUAGUGAUGUAACAACAUUUUCUGAAAUGCUUAGUGGCAUUACAACAGUUUUGCGCAGCAAGUUCUGCUUCAGCCUUUGAGGACUUGAAUUUUCAGCAUUGCCUUUCUGUGCUAGUAUAUGUCAUUUAUUCCUCUACAUUUUUUCACUGGUUUUCAAUUCUGAAACAG
RNAcentral lists this ribosomal RNA (3872 nucleotides) under Triticum aestivum (bread wheat). Its description in RNAcentral is "partial small subunit ribosomal RNA". The record is from RNAcentral. Lineage: Eukaryota; Viridiplantae; Streptophyta; Magnoliopsida; Poales; Poaceae.